RNAcentral lists this ribosomal RNA (565 nucleotides) under uncultured bacterium. Its description in RNAcentral is "partial 16S ribosomal RNA". It matches the Rfam family "Bacterial small subunit ribosomal RNA", at positions 355 to 914 of the family's 1533-position model. The record is from RNAcentral.
UGGGGAAUUUUGGACAAUGGGCGAAAGCCUGAUCCAGCAAUGCCGCGUGUGUGAAGAAGGCCUUCGGGUUGUAAAGCACUUUUGUCCGGAAAGAAAUCCUUGGCUCUAAUACAGUCGGGGGAUGACGGUACCGGAAGAAUAAGCACCGGCUAACUACGUGCCAGCAGCCGCGGUAAUACGUAGGGUGCAAGCGUUAAUCGGAAUUACUGGGCGUAAAGCGUGCGCAGGCGGUUUGCUAAGACCGAUGUGAAAUCCCCGGGCUCAACCUGGGAACUGCAUUGGUGACUGGCAGGCUAGAGUAUGGCAGAGGGGGGUAGAAUUCCACGUGUAGCAGUGAAAUGCGUAGAGAUGUGGAGGAGUACCGAUGGCGAAGGCAGCCCCCUGGGCAAUACUGACGCUCAUGCACGAAAACGUGGGGAGCAAACAGGAUUAGAUACCCUGGUAGUCCACGCCCUAAACGAUGUCAACUAGUUGUUGGGGAUUCAUUUCCUUAGUAACGUAGCUAACGCGUGAAGUUGACCGCCUGGGGAGUACGGUCGCAAGAUUAAAACUCAAAUGAAUUGAC